GAAUCUGGAAGAGACAUGAACUGAGUCUUGAGCUUGGACAAACUGGACAAAAACAGUUUGAGGGGGAUGGCUGUUCCAUUCAAGGACAAACGAUCUUUUAGUGGAAAUGCUAAGAAUACAGGAACAUCUCCUGGGACGGCCCACAGAGAGACCCGGAUGAGGUGGACAAGCAUGUUCCUUUGUGCUAAGUCUGAAGUGGAAUGCUGCCAUCAAAUCCCUAAGCUGUGUCUGCAGGACUAUAAUGGUAUGAAGGAAGAGGAGAAAUACUUUGCAAGGCUCUUUGGCAGCUGAGGAAGAAAUUCUAAUGCCACAACAGAAGGAAAAUAAAUUUUAAGAUGGAAGAAAGUGACAAAAAUGAGUGUUCUUGUUCAACAGGAUAUUAAAUGGUGGAUCAUGCAGAUGUUAUGCAAGUACUAUACCACUGAGCUAUAUC
This is a long non-coding RNA of Mastomys coucha (southern multimammate mouse), 433 nucleotides long. RefSeq lists it as uncharacterized. NCBI's taxonomy places the organism in Eukaryota, Metazoa, Chordata, Mammalia, Rodentia, Muridae. The record is from RefSeq and is a predicted model, not a curated record. The transcript has 3 exons.